This 85-nucleotide ribosomal RNA is filed under the name Escherichia coli. RNAcentral's name for it is "partial 23S ribosomal RNA". The stretch from base 1 to 72 matches the Rfam family "Bacterial large subunit ribosomal RNA", at positions 2853 to 2925 of the family's 2925-position model. Lineage: Bacteria; Pseudomonadati; Pseudomonadota; Gammaproteobacteria; Enterobacterales; Enterobacteriaceae. RNAcentral also lists the same sequence under 2 other names. The record is from RNAcentral.
UGAUAGGCCGGGUGUGUAAGCGCAGCGAUGCGUUGAGCUAACCGGUACUAAUGAACCGUGAGGCUUAACCUUACAACGCCGAAGC